AAGUCGUAACAAGGUUUCCGUAGGUGAACCUGCGGAAGGAUCAUUAACUAACUGCAUCAAUUGAUGCUUAAACAUUGUGAAUAGCUCGGGCAGGCCCGAGUGAGAUUAAACUUCAGAGCCUUAAAAAGUCUAAUAAAUACAACUUUUAACAACGGAUCUCUAGGUUCUC
This 169-nucleotide unclassified non-coding RNA is filed under the name Phylloporus sp. Its description in RNAcentral is "partial contains small subunit ribosomal RNA, internal transcribed spacer 1, and 5.8S ribosomal RNA". The stretch from base 1 to 46 matches the Rfam family "Eukaryotic small subunit ribosomal RNA", at positions 1786 to 1831 of the family's 1831-position model. The record is from RNAcentral. Lineage: Eukaryota; Fungi; Basidiomycota; Agaricomycetes; Boletales; Boletaceae.